GUGAUCGUGUAUACUGUCAUUAGGCUACAUGACGUUCACCGAGGUUUGACUGUCAUCUGAGAGAAAGAGAAGACGGAUAAAAAGCAUAAAUUCUGUACAUCCAGCUUGGCAAGGUUAAUGUUGGGACGUUAUCUUGAAGUCAUCCUGCCAUACAAUGUAAAGCUGCACAUGCACUGCGAUCGUUUGAAAGAGGACUGUGAGUGACAGAUGGACAGAUGGAUAUAUAGUUGGAGAAGAUGUAAUCACAUGUGAUUGGGAUCGGCGAUUCCGACUUGAGUGAUCUGCUUAUUCCAUUUCUCAUCUCCUCUACAGGCAUAAGGAGAAAAAAUUAAAUUUACUUUCAGAGAAACAUAAUAAGCAGCACUUAAGAUGGAUAACAUAUUCAUUUAUUAUC
Triplophysa rosa is the source of this 394-nucleotide long non-coding RNA. RefSeq lists it as uncharacterized. The transcript is spliced from 3 exons. The record is from RefSeq and is a predicted model, not a curated record. NCBI's taxonomy places the organism in Eukaryota, Metazoa, Chordata, Actinopteri, Cypriniformes, Nemacheilidae.